AAAAUAUCGAAUAUGUAGAUAUAUAAUUUAUCUAAAUUCUGUUUUUGAUGCAAGAAAAUAAAUCGAUAUAUUUGAAAGUACAACACAGAAGGAUUAUUGCGCUCAUCACGUUCAAAGCGAUUGUAAGUAGUAGUACAUAUAUCGUUCGAUUUGGAUCGAAUGUCUGCAUUCCCCACGCUUGUUCCUGCAUCUCUAGAAAUAGGACACUUUCAGCGAUUUCCUCGACCACUUAUAUUGUCAUCUCAACACCUAAAUAAUACAAUCGUCUACCGCAGUGCAGUGUGGAGGUACUUGAAAUAUCUUUCCAAAAAAACUUCGAAACUAGCGAAAGUUUCGUAGUUAUCGAACUGUUAUUCUGUUACCCUAAAUGUGCGGGCCCCAGAAAUCGGUAAAUAGAAUUUUACAUUUCCUGCGUAAACUACACUUUGC
Molecule: unclassified non-coding RNA, 429 nt
Filed under: Bombus terrestris (buff-tailed bumblebee)
Lineage: Eukaryota; Metazoa; Arthropoda; Insecta; Hymenoptera; Apidae
Description: misc RNA ENSBTSG00005030497.1
Source: RNAcentral